GCCCAGGUGGUGGAAUAGGUAGACACGCAGGACUUAAAAUCCUGUUACCUCGGUAGUGCGGGUUCGAUUCCCGCCCUGGGCACCA
RNAcentral lists this transfer RNA (85 nucleotides) under Candidatus Altimarinota bacterium. RNAcentral describes it as "tRNA-Leu". It matches the Rfam family "tRNA". From Rfam's summary of the family: Transfer RNA (tRNA) molecules are approximately 80 nucleotides in length. Their secondary structure includes four short double-helical elements and three loops (D, anti-codon, and T loops). Lineage: Bacteria; Candidatus Altimarinota. The record is from RNAcentral.